GUCUAUGGCCAUACCACCCUGAACGCACCUGAUCUUGUCUGAUCUCGGAAGCUAAGCAUGGUCGGGCCUGGUUAGUACUUGGAUGGGAGCAACAGCAGAGAAAGUAGUUUUCCCAUAAGCC
This is a ribosomal RNA of Mustela putorius furo (domestic ferret), 121 nucleotides long. The record is from Ensembl. NCBI's taxonomy places the organism in Eukaryota, Metazoa, Chordata, Mammalia, Carnivora, Mustelidae.